GACGAACGAUGGCGGCGUGCCUAAUACAUGCAAGUAGGACGCAGUUGCGAACGGGUGAGUAACGCGUAGGUGACUGCCUAUUAGAGGGGGAUAACUAUUGGAAACGAUAGCUAAUACCGCAUACUAGUAGAUGGACCUGCGUUGUAUUAGCUAGUAGGUAGGGUAAUGGCCUACCUAGGCGACGAUAAAUAGCCGACCGGAGAGGGUGAUCGGCCACACUGGGACUGAGACACGGCCCAGACUCCUACGGGAGGCAGCAGUAGGGAAUCUUCGGCAAUGGGGGGAACCCUGACCGAGCAACGCGGCGGGAGUGAAGAAGGUUUUCGGAUCGUAGAGCUCUGUUGUUAAGGAAGCGGUACUUAACCAGAAAGGGAAGGCUAACUACGUGCCAGCAGCCGCGGUAAUUC
RNAcentral lists this ribosomal RNA (407 nucleotides) under uncultured bacterium. Its description in RNAcentral is "partial 16S ribosomal RNA". It matches the Rfam family "Bacterial small subunit ribosomal RNA", at positions 28 to 526 of the family's 1533-position model. The record is from RNAcentral.